CACAGAAUUCCCUACGACUGGCUAUCAUCUUCCAGGAGCCUUUCCCAGCAUGCUAUCCUGGUGCCUGGCCCUUUAAAUCUGGGCUGGUGAAUCAGCUGCAGCCCUAUGGUAGUCCUCUGGCUGCUGAGUGCUGCAGGUUGGAACUCCAGCCUUUCUCGCUGACCAAUAUGGCUGUCACGAGAACUGACAGUUUUGAAUGCACAACCACUUCUGCUUGCAGCCUCAUGUUCCCCUCCCCAGUAUCAAAGGUGGCCUCUAAAAAUGCAGACCCUGCAUGUGCAAGAGGAGGAAAACCCUCCCCUUGGUUCCAUAUUUUUAAUAUGGCUUUUCAUAAGAAAACUUUAACAGUAUGUUUCAACUGUAAACAAAUCAUUUGAGACAACAAACCAACACGAUUGAUCUAGCUGUUUGCAUUUCACAACACAGGCCUGGACUGGCUUUGAAAUGCUAAUUUUCUCCCUUGCAAAAGAAGGAAUGAAGCUACAACAGAAUCCAAAACAAGAACACAGCCCCGAGCCCUUCUCCAACUGGAUUGAUCCCAUGCCUACCUAACCCAGAAACACAAAACACUGCCAGGCAAGGAAGAAUCCGGCCGAAGUACCAGCAAAGGGCUUCAGUAAAAUCUGGCCAAGAGACCCCAUGUCGACUUCGUUAACACGAGUGACAUUAAAUCAGGGAAGGAAAAGGGGCAGUGUAAUGAAGUCUCCCCAGGAAUGCAAGCCUUCGCCCACAGGCCAGCAAGAAAUUGACAAAGCCCCACGUGUAAUUAUUUCCUUUAAGUGAACAGUUUUUUUUUUAAAACUACACUUGUUAUCCGCUUCCUCCCCCCGUCUUCAUCCACGUGUACGGAGUUAAAGCCGUUCUCACCUUACAUAACAUCCCCCCGUUUGAAAAACACAACCGAAAAACGGGUACACCGCAUUUUACUACACGGGCUUUCUCCGUAUUCCUCAGCUCCGUGUGGGGGUGGGAAGAGGUUCACUCCGUAGUGAAUCCUCUCCCCAGCUCUGGAGCAAGCUUCCCCUAUGAAUUCUCUCCCCCACCACAGAAAUCGGGGCGAAGAGAGACCAGACCACGUUUCUAUGCUUCAUUCCACGGCCCAGGAGAGCCACAGAUUUGGUUACAGCGCAAUACAUAAAUUGGUACCAGCAGCUCUGCAAAGCCGGUUCCCCCCCCCCCAGGAAAUUACAUGAAUAAAAUGUAUUCUCCCCUCUUCCUUCUACCCACAACAGCAGCAACAGACAUGACGUGCGAGGCCUCGCGAGUUGCUGGCCCCUGAAGGCACUUGCUGCAAU
Long non-coding RNA from Dermochelys coriacea (leatherback sea turtle), 1295 nucleotides. RefSeq lists it as uncharacterized. The transcript has 3 exons. The record is from RefSeq and is a predicted model, not a curated record. NCBI's taxonomy places the organism in Eukaryota, Metazoa, Chordata, Testudines, Dermochelyidae.